Molecule: ribosomal RNA, 700 nt
Filed under: uncultured bacterium
Lineage: Bacteria
Description: bacterial SSU rRNA
Rfam family: Bacterial small subunit ribosomal RNA
Source: RNAcentral
AGUCGAACGAAGCACCUGAGAAUGAUUCUUCGGAUGAAGUCUCUUGUGACUGAGUGGCGGACGGGUGAGUAACGCGUGGGUAACCUGCCUCACACAGGGGGAUAACAGUUGGAAACGACCGCUAAUACCGCAUAACCCGCUGGUGCCGCAUGGCACUGACGGAAAAGAUUUUAUCGGUGUGAGAUGGACCCGCGUCUGAUUAGCCAGUUGGCAGGGUAACGGCCUACCAAAGCGACGAUCAGUAGCCGGCCUGAGAGGGUGAACGGCCACAUUGGGACUGAGACACGGCCCAGACUCCUGCGGGAGGCAGCAGUGGGGAAUAUUGCACAAUGGGGGAAACCCUGAUGCAGCGACGCCGCGUGAGUGAAGAAGUAUUUCGGUAUGUAAAGCUCUAUCAGCAGGGAAGAAAAUGACGGUACCUGAUUAAGAAGCCCCGGCUAACUACGUGCCUGCAGCCGCGGUAAUACGUAGGGGGCAAGCGUUAUCCGGAUUUACUGGGUGUAAAGGGAGCGUAGACGGUGAUGCAAGUCAGAAGUGAAAGCCCGGGGCUCAACUCCGGGACUGCUUUUGAAACUGUGUGACUGGAGUGCAGCAGAGCUAAGCGGAAUUCCUGGUGUAGCGGUGAAAUGCGUAGAUUUCUGGGGAAACACCAGUGGCGAAGGCGGCUUACUGGACUGUAACUGACGUUGAGGCUCGAAAG